CAGAUCCUGCUCUCCCUUCCAAGCAUCCACUUCGAACUGGACUGGCUCUCUGCGCUGAACAGAAUAAAUCACUCUGCCUUGAAAAGUUUCCAGUCUGCGAGCCAAAUCCUGCAGUGUAAAUCUGCAACAGCAGGAGGCAAUUCGGUGCAGCAGAACAGGGAGCCAACCUCAGCCACUCUGCAGCCUCUUGGUGCUCUCCAGAGACCCUGUGGAUUGCACAAGGACCCAGACCCACGGCAUGGUUCAGUUCAUCACUGUAAUGCAGCAAGGCUUGGAGAACAGGAGCGCGUCCCGUGGCCUCAAGAGCAAGUUCUUAACUCUUACACUGUGGGGAGAACCUAGAAAGCAUCGCUUUGUGCCUGUGGCACAGCAGUGGUCUUUCUCUGAGUCUUUACUUCUCUUUGUUCUUGCAAAGGCACUGACAUGUUUAUCUAACGUAUUAGCUCCUUACCUCAUGCGCUGCCACCAGCCAGCCCUUUCAGCAAGCUGAGGAGUUUCCAAGUUACCCAUGGCCAUUGAAGACUGUCAGAGGUGGAGAGGAAAAAGGGCCACUGGGGGUUGAAGGAGGGGUAGAGCACCCCAGGACCUGGGCCAGCAGAGCCUCUUUUGGGCUGUCACCCAGGAGGAUUUCUCUUUAGAAACAGUUCUCCCUAGGUCAGAGAGAGCUUUGACCACCCUGUCUGUGGGAGUGACUGGCAGGUGACAGGGAACAUGGUACAGUCAGGGGAAAGAAAGGGGCUCAGUGCAAGUCAGUGUCCAGAGCUUUAAUGCACAGCUCUCCUGAGCAAGACCACAUACAUCAAUAAAUAAAAUUAAUAAUAAUUACUAGAGCAGCCCCAACAAA
Molecule: long non-coding RNA, 844 nt
Organism: Tyto alba (common barn owl)
Lineage: Eukaryota; Metazoa; Chordata; Aves; Strigiformes; Tytonidae
Exons: 3
Source: RefSeq, a predicted model, not a curated record